Numida meleagris (helmeted guineafowl) is the source of this 5812-nucleotide long non-coding RNA. RefSeq lists it as uncharacterized. The record is from RefSeq and is a predicted model, not a curated record. NCBI's taxonomy places the organism in Eukaryota, Metazoa, Chordata, Aves, Galliformes, Numididae. The transcript is spliced from 2 exons.
GGGGCGGGGCGAGCGCCGGCCGCGCGGAACCGUUACGAGCGCGAGGGAGGCGGCAGCUGGCGAGCGCGAGACUGGCGUGCCGCGCGCCGCACAGGCGGCACUAAUCGAGUGCCGAGAGAGCUCGGCCCGGCGCCGCGCCGUCGGCCGCCGUGGCCGGAGAGAAGGCGCCGGGCAGGGUGUGGGGGUCCUAGGCGCGCCGCUGCCCCCUUGGCCCUGGCCGGCAGUUCCGGGUCCCUUCGGCAGGCGGCACCACUCCGCGCUCGGGACGCUGGGGCCCGGUCCCAGCCACGCCCGCCUCGCCCCUGUGCGGGCUGCAGACCUGCGCCCACCGAGAGCUGCUCUUCCGCCCUCCGGGCUACCCCGGACCGGCCCCCGCUUUGCUAUAACGCCGAUAUAACUCGGCACAGUCGCUGUUACUAGGUUUAACAGUUUGGUUCUCGAGCUCUCUGAUCGUGAGAAAGGAUAACAAGGACUGUCAUCACCCUUUGCUUUAAACCAUGUGAAAUACAGAAAAGCAGAAAGUUCCCCCGCGGCUUUGGAACCCCCCCGGCCACCACAAGGUGUUUCAGCGCUCUCCCAUUGCCCCUCUCAUCUCUCCCUUUAGUUCUUCCACUCUCUUCUGAGAUAAGAACUUUCAUCACAUUGCUUGUGGAUAAUGCCGUACUUUCAGCAUGCUUGGUUUUGCUGUCUGGAAGCACGUGUUCGUUUUGCACAAAUACAUUGUUAAAUGUCUUCCACAGUUAACAAUACUAUGCAGCUGAUUAUGCACAAAGUUCAAACCCUCUGACUCCAGCUGAGCUUUAUAUUUUCAUAUGUUAUUGGUGUGAUUUCAGUACUACCUUUGUAAUAGCAGACUGUGGGUAUCCUCCUUUUGGCUGUGUACUAACAAACAAUUACUGAAAGCAUUUGUAAUUUACAUAGCCAUUAACGAACCAUCUCAGAAAUUUCCUCUUUAGCAUAUCAUUUUCUUGGGUGGAUUUCUAGUGCAGAAAUGAAGGCCUGAAGAAAUACCCUGUGUCUCAGGGAAAGUCGCACUAGUAGCACUUUGACGGGAUGGUGCAUUAGCAUAUGAUACCACUAUUUUCAUAUUGGCACUGCAAUUGCAGCGUGCAGCCAUAGAGACUGAGAAUUCAGGCUUCUGAGAUCUCUGGUUAUGCAAUGGUAUAAUACAACAUAUGUGGGUGGGUGUAAGCCUGAACCCAAAACAGCAUGGUUACUGAAGAUACUGCAUCGCUGGUGCUCGUAUUUCUGUUCCCUCAUGGGUUUGGUUGCUGUGUGUUGAAUAUUCUGCUGCAGACAAAGCAAAAAGAUUUUUUUUCUAAUAUAUCUGAAAUUGUCUGAAGUACAAGCAGGAAGCGUGACACUUCAUAGCUUCCUGCAGAGGAUUUCACACCCAACACUAAAGGCAGUAGUGCUUAUUCAGACAGUCUCCCUGUGUAGAUGAUUGAUGUGUUGCUCUUGUGGACAGUAAGGAGGGGCAGAAUUAAGAUUGCACUGGCAACGUUAGUGGUAGCAUUUCCUGUGGGAUUUGUGUGGGAUUUCUUUGUAUGGGAACAUAGUAGAGGAUUGUGUUAGUGUAGUGAAAUUAUCUAAGCUUACAACAUUUUAAAAGACUGAGCCAAGGAGAGGCUGAAAUCAAUACAAGGGGGUUUUAAUGUUGACGUAUGAAAGUUCUCAUAAAUUAGACUUAAUAUAAAGGCAGAUCCAUAAUAGAUCAGGAGAAGGUUGGAAGAGGAUGAUUUUCUGCAAUCAAGUUUUCAUCAGAAUAGCAAACAACUUUGUGUGAGAAAGCCCUUUUGCUACAGGCAGACAUUCUGGAAAAUGUGCUGGCAGUCCGUACCAGAGUUCAUGUUGACUGUCUAGAGAAAAAUAAGUUUUUGUCAUCAAAGUCAAUAUACAACUGGGAGUCGCAUUUUGCCCUGGUCAUGCCAGCAUAAAUUAUAGCUCAAUUUGCUAACUUCUCAGGAAAUGUUUUACAUUGCUUUGUCUGCCAGGUGUUAAUUAUCAAUAUCUGUCCAAUUAAGAAAGGAUUGCCCUUUCAUUAAGAUAUCUCUUUCAGCCAUGUUUGUUCCAUGUCUACCGGCUGACAUAGUAGGCUUUCUUAUCUUACCGUAAAUACUAGGCAGUGGCAUAUUUUAAUGACUCAUUUGGGUGAAACAAUUUCCAUGUACAAGACAAACUAGUUAUAUAUAGAAUCUUGAUGAAGAAAAAACAGACCAGUGUGGUUAAAGGAAGAUGCCAUUUUGUUCUCUUGAUUACAGUGUGAGCAAGGAUGUUUUACAAACUCACUGACAGUUACAGAACAGGGCACUCUAUUGAGAACUAUUGUUAGAGUAGGCGUCCAAUAAUUCUACAAUUUUAUUAUCAGAUCAGCUGGUUUUAUGGUUUCAGGUUUUGUUGUGUUUGGUUUGGGGUUGUUGUUGUUUUCACAGUGACUCCUUAAAUUUGAUUUUUUAACUCGUUAUUUUUUGUUUAGAUUUUACUAUCUGGAUCAGCAGUGGGACACAGCUAUUUGACUGUAUGGCAUUGGUAUAGAUCCAGCUGAAGUCACAAAGUACUGGCUUAAUGAAUCAUUAAUGGAAUUCAGAACAAUUUAUUUCUAUGCCACUGGUGCAAAUCCAAGUAAGGUCAAGAGACUAGCUGGCUCAGUGGUUCAGUAAUAGGAAACAGACUUCCAUCUCCAACUUAUUGAUGCCAGUCUAUAAAGGGUCAGGAAACUAAGUUCUGAGACCUUAAAACACAAAGCUUUUUCAAUGCGACCAUUGGUUUAAAGUCAGUCUGUUAUGCAUGAUUGCUUUCUGAUCUGUUUUUACAGUCUGUAUUGAUCUAUAAAUUAUUUAAGAGGAUAGUAUAAAUAUGCUUUCUGCAUAGCCACUGAUACAGCACAAUAUUCAUCACUCUAGCAAAAAAAGGCACAAGAGACUGUCUCUCCAAACAACCUCUUCCUUUAGGAAAGCAUCUGGGGGAAAGAACAGAACAUACAUCACAUUUUAGCUAUGUUAUGUAAGACCAGCAAAUUAUGCGAAUGUCUUCAUCGACCAUGCUGCCAUGUCCAUGUGCCAUCCUUGCCAUACCAUCCUUGCCAGAGGCCUCCUUUACUUUAUGGGUUUAUACCUCUAGUCAGGAGCAGGAACCCAGCUACAGAAACUGUCCUAACCACUAGUGAGAGGGAAAGUGUGUGGCUUGCUAGGGGUAAAACUGCAUCACUCCUUGCACUGCACCCAAUUUGCAAAGUCAUAUUUGUCUUUUAAGAAAAGACUCCCCACCUCUACCUGAAAGAUUACAAUAUGAAAGAAGCUCUUAACUUCUCCACUUGGUAACAAACUACACCACAACAUAUCUCAUGCCCAGUUUCAAUACGUGCAAUGACAGGCAUGUGGAAAACUCCUAAAGGAGGAUGGCCUGUACAGAUAUCCUUGCAUACAGCCUCUUUUCUUCACUGUUUCCUCCUACUCAGAUACCUGCCGUGGUGUAACUUUUGAAAUGGCACCAUAUGUUAAGGAGACAACCUCAUGUAUAUUCUCAGAAACAACAUCAUCUGGCAGAGUGAAGUUUAUUGAGCUUAUAUGAUAUGAUUUUGGUGGCUCUGUGGUAGUGACAACCAUGUAAAUCCAUGUGACGGUGCACUCCCCAACCUCCUCCUCUGGCCUUGCCAUUAUACCCAACACUGUCCUGCUAACUACUAAAUCUAUGAGCCAAUCAUCUUAUCCCAUAAAAAGAGAGAACCCCUUGAGCUUAACUGUGUGUGACCUCCCCAGUUCUUCCUAAACAUUGAGAAGCUUGAAUGACUGUAGUCACAAGGUGGCUUAUGUAGAGUAAUUGUUGGAAAUAACUUAUUGGGAUACUCCCCUCUUAGAAGAAGAAAAGUAUUGAAGAAACCUCAGGGUAGAAUGCAGCAAAUAUACUAGAAGUCUGUUCCAUGUAGUUCCCUAAGCAACCUAAGACCUGCAAAUCUUAGAUUGUUGGCAGCACCAGGGGAACUUAGUAUGCUGACUCUGAGAUACAGCACAGAGGGUGGACCAAGGUGUAAAACUCCUCAGCCAGUCUCUCUAAGAUCACAGGGAUGGGAACUUGUUAUUAUGGAACUGAUAAAUUGCAUAGUAAUCAUCCUGAGUUAGCAACUUUUCCAUUUACUGUUGCACCAGUCACAACAAAGAUAGGUAUGAUUAGAAUCAAACUCCACCUGAGAGUAAGAUAAAAAUGGCCUAAGAGAGAAGGAAUUUUGGGGAAGAUAUCUUUGCUGACAAAUGAGAAGGACAAAGCUGACUUCUGGGACUAGUCAACGGGCUGAGCCUCUCUUCCUCCCCACAGGGGUGCCUAUUGGGUAAGAUUCAGAUACUUAAACCAAGCUAUGCCAAGUGCUUUCCCCAGGAAACUUAGAAAUCUGUACAGAAUUAUUCCAUAGUUUAACACAUUUUUGGACAACUGUAUUAUUUACGCUAUUGGUAUUUACACUUUCUCCAUAGGCAGUGUAUUUAUCACUGGCAAUCCAAAAGAAUCUGUAAUCUGUUGCUCCAAUACAGAAUGUUGUUUUAUAAGCAAGUCGUGAAAGUUCUCAUUGGUGUGGCCAAUGGUCAUACAAGUCCCUUGAAACAUGAUAGAACUUGUAGGACCAAAGUGGAUAUUAAGCCUUUAGCACAACACUCUCCAACCCUGUUCCCUUUCAGUCAUUUUUUUUUCCUCUCAUACUCUGGUCAAACUAUAAAAGCAAAUCCUUCCCCAGCAUCCUGCCUAGGUGUAAGGGUAUAAUAUAACCCUAUCUUCUAGCUAUUCAGUACACAAAGCUGAUCCACACUCUAUUGUUUGAGAUUUCAGAUGUUGCCAUUUUGCCACUCAAUUGAGUCUUUGGAAAUUAAUGUUGCUUAGAUCUCUGUCAUAGGUGUUAGUGUUACAUUAGGCAGAAACAUUUGUUUCUAUACAGACUUUCACAGACAGAAUUUGAGAAGUGCCAGGCAGGGAGGUCCCAAACUAAAAUAUACCCUCAGCUUGGUAACAAAGGUUUGAUCCUGUCACUUAGGAGCAGUGGAGGUCCUGAAGAUCGUGUACAAAGGAUCCUGUACCUUUUGUUUUUGUCCAUCAUUCACUGAUCUGGUCCCACUACAAGAGUUACUUCUCUGUAUCACCCUAAAGAAGACACACCUGAUAUUUCCCAUAGUUCUUUUCAUCUGCCAGAGUAGGAGUUUCUUGAAGAACAGUACAUUAAACAAGGGCUUCCACUUCCAAAAAUUUGGAACUGGUGCCAGCCAAGGGUUAUUUUUCAUGUCUUUUGCAGGGAUAAUGAAAAGCUUGACACUUCUGAGUACCAGUUCUUCUGGGUCACUGCAGUCCUUACUGACAAUCAUCCAGAAAACAACUUGUCUAAGAGCAGAACUGAGGUCUUUGAGAGAGGUACGCAUUACAUGCAGCAUGACUACAAAUGCACUUCAGUGGAUUAACUACUAGUAUGGGUGCCUAACAAAAAUAAAUGAAUCUUAGUAUGACUCCACAUGAAUGGCGUUGACACAUUCAAUUGUCUGUGCUUCAUUUGCUAGAAAACAGUAGCUAUUUUAGAAAAGCUGUUGAUGAGUUUAGCACAGACAAAGAAUAGACAGAUUUUAAAGACACCGUACUGGAACAUUCUAUUUUUGAAAUUUCACUUUGACAAAACUGCCUCAUUAAGGACCUUGGUAUGUAAAGCUGGAGAAUGUUUUCAAUCUCAUAUAAACUAAAUUCAGAAUUCUGAUGAGCUGAAUCUGUUCUUUCCACACAUUAUUUUCCUUUAUCUGUAUUUUCACUUGUUUCUGUGUAAGAGAUGAAAUAAAAACGUAUGAAA